Long non-coding RNA from Gasterosteus aculeatus aculeatus (three-spined stickleback), 649 nucleotides. NCBI's taxonomy places the organism in Eukaryota, Metazoa, Chordata, Actinopteri, Perciformes, Gasterosteidae. The record is from Ensembl.
UGGUGGAAGGGGCAUGGUGGAAGGUGGUCUGGUGAAAGAUGGUCUGGUAGAAGGUGGUCUGGUGGAAGGGGGCAUGGUGGAAGGGGCAUGGUGGAAGAUGGUCUGGUAGAAGGGGCAUGGUGGAAGGUGGUCUGGUGGAAGAUGGUCUGGUAGAAGGUGGUCUGGUGGAAGAUGGUCUGGUAGAAGGGGCAUGGUGGAAGGUGGUCUGGUGGAAGGGGCAUGGUGGAAGGUGGUCUGGUGGAAGAUGGUCUGGUAGAAGGUGGUCUGGAUUAGACCUCGGGACUGAGCUACGCUGCGUUUGGGUUACAUGUUUAUAUAAGAAUAAGAUGCAUGUGAAUUGAUUCUGCUCUGUGAUUAUUUUCUGCCUCAUCUUGUGUCUCCUGAUCGUUUUGGUGGAAACACCUUCAGUCACAACCUUUGUUGGUGUCUGUUAACGUUUGGUUUAAACACUCAUACACAGGUGUAUAAAUGACCUCUGCAGGACCAGGAUGUCAGCACCUCUAAAUGAGCCUGUUGGGAAUCCUGCUAUUAUCAUUACGCAGUGUACUGCUGUCCUGUUGUAAUUGCGUUAAAACAGGAAACGAUGCACUCAGCUGUAUUUUCUCCACCAAACUGAAAAGCAACUCAAUGUCUGGGAGGAAAGUCCAAC